CUGCUAUCGGAUGAUACUAAGCCAUGCGAGUCUUUGUAGUAAUACAAGGCAGACGGCUCAGUAACACGUAGUCAACCUACCCUAUGGACGAGAAUAAUCUCGGGAAACUGAGCAUAAUUCUCGAUAGAUCAUAAUGCCUGGAAUGGUUUAUGGUUAAAAUGAUUCGUCGCCAUAGGAUGGGACUGCGGCCUAUCAGCUUGUUGGUGAGGUAAUGGCCCACCAAGGCGAUUACAGGUACGGGCUCUGAGAGGAGAAGCCCGGAGAUGGGUACUGAGACACGGACCCAGGCCCUAUGGGGCGCAGCAGGCGAGAAAACUUUGCAAUGUGCGAAAGCACGACAAGGUUAAUCCGAGUGAUUUCUGCUAAAGAAAUCUUUUGCCAGUCAUAAAACCACUGGUGAAUAAGGGGUGGGCAAGUUCUGGUGUCAGCCGCCGCGGUAAAACCAGCACCUCAAGUGGUCAGGAUGAUUAUUGGGCCUAAAGCAUCCGUAGCCGGCUUUGUUAGUUUUCGGUUAAAGCCAUGUGCUCAACGCAUGGGCUGCCGAAAAUACUGCAUAGCUAGGGAGUGGGAGAGGUAGACGGUACUCAGUAGGAAGGGGUAAAAUCCUUUGAUCUAUUGAUGACCACCUGUGGCGAAGGCGGUCUACCAGAACACGUUCGACGGUGAGGGAUGAAAGCUGGGGGAGCAAACCGGAUUAGAUACCCGGGUAGUCCCAGCUGUAAACGAUGCAGACUCGAUGAUGCAUUGGCAUAAUAGCCAGUGCAGUGUCGCAGGGAAGCCGUUAAGUCUGCCGCCUGGGAAGUACGUACGCAAGUAUGAAACUUAAAGGAAUUGGCGGGGGAGCACCACAAGGGGUGAAGCCUGCGGUUCAAU
RNAcentral lists this ribosomal RNA (873 nucleotides) under uncultured marine group I thaumarchaeote. Its description in RNAcentral is "SSU rRNA". It matches the Rfam family "Archaeal small subunit ribosomal RNA", at positions 27 to 906 of the family's 1478-position model. The record is from RNAcentral. Lineage: Archaea; Thermoproteati; Nitrososphaerota.